This 93-nucleotide transfer RNA is filed under the name Vibrio phage Thalassa. Its description in RNAcentral is "tRNA-Ile". It matches the Rfam family "tRNA". Rfam says of the family: Transfer RNA (tRNA) molecules are approximately 80 nucleotides in length. The record is from RNAcentral. Lineage: Duplodnaviria; Heunggongvirae; Uroviricota; Caudoviricetes; Demerecviridae.
CUCCCCUUAGCUCAGUUGGUAGAGCAGCGGGUUUAUACUCCGUAGCAACAGAUAAUUGGCUGGUCACUGGUUCGAGUCCAGUAGGGGAGACCA